GGCUUUUAAUUUCAGUCUAAUUCAAGUCAGCAGCAUAGGGCAGCUCCUGGGAAAUUGGUUUACACAUGCGGACAAGCCCAGUAGCCCAGAGCUAACCCACUCACCAUCCCUGACCACAGAGGAGCAGAUAAGGAAGCAAGAUUUGUCGGCCAGAGCUAUGACAAGUUCCACUGUGGAUGGCAAGGAAAUGAGGGGGGCAGCAACCUGUUAAUGAGACUCAAGAGUGUCAAGACCCAUUUUUGUUAUCUGGAUUUUCAAGGCCGAGUUCAAACAUGAGGAUCCUGGAAAGGUUGGCAGACGUCUGCGGAAGCUACCUUCUCUGUU
Molecule: long non-coding RNA, 324 nt
Filed under: Homo sapiens (human)
Lineage: Eukaryota; Metazoa; Chordata; Mammalia; Primates; Hominidae
Description: HSALNT0215550
Source: RNAcentral